This is a long non-coding RNA of Mya arenaria, 2441 nucleotides long. RefSeq lists it as uncharacterized. NCBI's taxonomy places the organism in Eukaryota, Metazoa, Mollusca, Bivalvia, Myida, Myidae. The transcript has 2 exons. The record is from RefSeq and is a predicted model, not a curated record.
GUAGACAUUGCAGCGUAUCAGUUCCAUAGGUUAAUUUUCUGUGACAGUUCUUUUCAUACAUUCAUUUAAAGCACCUGUCUCCGAAGAGCACAGCAUGAUCUCAUACAUUUUUCCAAAAUGCAUACAAUAAAAAUAUACUGGUAGUGCAUUUGAUCAACAUUUCCUUUUAUUAGGAGAAGCUUUGUAAAAUCUCUGUACAUUCAUCAUAUUUGAACUCUGCAAGUGGAUAUUUAUCUUCUCAAAUUAAAAUGUAGAACUCUCCUGUAGAUAGAGUCUGGUAAUAGACAUGAGUGCAGUAGCAAUGGACAUGAUGUAAUGGUUCACCUUGACAUUAUCCGAUUGGAGCACUUUGAACAAUCCCCAGAUUAUAUCUGUUUAAGGUUCUCAUGAAUAUUCUCUGUGCAUAAGCAUUCUAUAUUUUACCCCAAAUCAUGGAUAAAUUUAGAACCCUUUUGCACACAUGUACAUUUAUUGGACUGCGUAUCGAUAAGAGAUAGCAUAUUUUGCAUCCAACAUUGUUAGAUGUGUCAUCAUUUUGGGUUAUCUUCUUAAAUGCUUGAUAAGCUCAGGAGUAUAAAUAUAAAUAAUUAUUAAACUGACUGAAUUUUUUUUUAGUAUGGUGAUAGGGUUGUACUUUGUCUAGAGACAGACAAAUAAACUUAAUUUAGGACCUACAUUUCCUUUAAAAAGUCUGUUUUUUCAUUUUGUAAUUAAGCACUAAAACCACUUGCAAAAAUAUGUGAGAUUCUAACUCUGUACAUAUUAUUUUGAAGCCAAAUGAAUAAAUAUUAAUAUCAUUUUACUUCAUUUUCUAAUUUUCAAAUAUGCAUUAUAUUUUCAGAGGGUAAAGUGCAAGAGUUUGAGGUUAUUCCACUUAAGUCCGAAGACUUGGUAGAUACCAACGGGGCAGGCGACGCAUUUGUUGGAGGAUUCCUCUCCCAGUUAAUUCAGGACAAGCCCCUGGCUGAUUGUGUUCCUUGUGGAAACUACGCGGCAAACCUUGUUAUCCAGCGGUCAGGUUGCACUGUCCCGGACAAACCAGAGUUCAAGUAACCAUCGGAUGUUGUAGCCACUGGGCAUGUCUUUAAGUUGUGCAUAUCAGUGUUAAACCAUGCAAGGGUAAUAGAAGGGCAUUCUUAUAGAUGAUGCUUUAACUUGGGACAUAAAUAUGAAGAUACUGUUUAUCUUCACAACAGCCUGGGCCUGCAUAUAUAUCAGGGUUGUAUAUAUAUCAUUUGACCUGCUACAAAACCAAAUCUAAUGUAGUAAGCCAUGACUUAGUGUCUGGUAGCAGAAUGUGCAAGUUUUUCCAUUCAUGUCAUUGAAUAAUGUAUUUCAUUUCAUUGCUAUGCCUAUUAAUGAAAUAUCUAUUUUUUUCUUUAAUGCAUUUAAAGAAUAGAAAUAACAAGCAAGAAAAGCAAUCAGUUUAUUUAUAUAAAGAAAUCAGAAAUUUGCAUAUAUUUUUUUAUAAAUGCAUUUACCCUUUUAUACACUUUUUAGAGAAACAGAAAAGCAAUCAUUUUAAUAAUAUAAAGAAAUUAGAAAACAUAUAUUUUUUGUGAAUCGAUUAACCUUUUCAGAUAAUUUUUAAAGAAACUAAUUAAGGAUGUUGUUUUUUAAAGAUAGUCAUUAAUGGAAUAGGUGUAUUUACAUUCACUUUUCUUAGAUUAGAAUUAAAUGAAAGUAAAUUACUGAUUAAAAUUGAGAAUUGAGAAUACUGUCUCGGUAAAUGCAAUAACUAGAGAAAAAGAAAUGUCAGACUUUCCAGACUUUGAAUAAUUUGUUUGUAAGAUUUUCUAGACUUUGAAUAAUUUUGUAAGUUAGAUUUUCCAGAUAAAACAAUUCUGUAAGGCAGGCUUUCAAUAAGUUUGAACCUUUUUGUAAGUGGGGGAGUGUUUGAACAGUUUUGUUAGGCAGACUUUUCAGAUUGUGAAACGUUUUGUAAAUUUCUAAAUUAUGAAAAGUUUUGUUUAUCACACUUUCACCAAAUUUAAACUGUUUUGUUAAUCAGACUUUACAGAUUAUGAAACAUUUUGUUUGUCCGACUUUCUCCAGGUUUUAAACUGUUUUGUUAUGUGACGUUCAAGAUCAUAAAAAGUUUUGUAAGUAAGACUUUCCAAAUUAUGAAAAGUUUUGUAAGUCAGACUUUCCAGAUUAUGAAAAGUUUUGUAAGUCAGACUUUCCAGAUUAUGAAAAGUUUUGUAAGUCAGACUUUCCAGAUUUUGACUGUUCUAUGAAUUUUGUAUCAUCUUUUCCUGGUGUCAAAUUGAUAAUUAUUUAGAAAUGAGACAAACCCAUUUUGACUGUAAAAUAGGCAGGCAGAAUUAAAUUGUACAAUUAUCUUCAUGUACCAACUACCAGUUAUCGGCUACAUGUAGUUUGAUGGAAACUAUCAUUACAUGUACUUAUUUGGUCUAUGCAAUAAAUGGAAAAAAAUCAUA